GAAAAAUGUGAUAUUUUCAGCCUUGGGGUGAUAAUGUGGGAGCUUUGCACACUAAAUAGACCAUGGAAAGGAGUGCCGCCAGAAAGGGUAGUUUAUGCUGUUGCUAAUGAGGGAUCCCGUUUGGAGAUUCCUGAAGGUCCACUGGGCAAGUUAAUUUCAGAUUGUUGGGCAGAGCCAAACGAACGGCCAAGCUGUGAAGAGAUACUCUCCCGUUUGCUCGACUGCGAGUACACACUCUGCUGAGUCGUUUUCGUAUGUAUAGAAAAACACGAUAGAGGCUUUGCAAUGUGUUUCGGCUAAAUUGUAAACUGUUUGAUUUUCUGUCAUUGGGAAAAACAUCAAAUGCUUCAAUUUUCAGAUGUCAAUGGAACCGUUGAAUCUUUCUGUGCGAGUGAAAAGAGUGG
This 404-nucleotide unclassified non-coding RNA is filed under the name Hevea brasiliensis (rubber tree). The record is from RNAcentral. Lineage: Eukaryota; Viridiplantae; Streptophyta; Magnoliopsida; Malpighiales; Euphorbiaceae.